RNAcentral lists this ribosomal RNA (355 nucleotides) under uncultured Cellulomonas sp. RNAcentral describes it as "bacterial SSU rRNA". It matches the Rfam family "Bacterial small subunit ribosomal RNA", at positions 1027 to 1374 of the family's 1533-position model. The record is from RNAcentral. Lineage: Bacteria; Bacillati; Actinomycetota; Actinomycetes; Micrococcales; Cellulomonadaceae.
UCGGUGGACAGGUGGUGCAUGGGUUGUCGUCAGCUCGUGUCGUGAGAUGUUGGUUAAGUCCCGCAACGAGCGCAACCCUCGUCCUAUGUUGCCAGCGGGUCAUGCCGGGGACUCAUGGGAGACUGCCGGGGUCAACUCGGAGGAAGGUGGGAUGACGUCAAAUCAUCAUGCCCCUUAUGUCUUGGGCUUCACGCAUGCUACAAUGGCCGGUACAAAGGGCUGCGAUACCGCGAGGUGGAGCGAAUCCCAGAAAGCCGGUCUCAGUUCGGAUUGGGGUCUGCAACUCGACCCCAUGAAGUCGGAGUCGCUAGUAAUCGCAGAUCAGCAACGCUGCGGUCGAAUACGUUCCGGCCUU